CGGGAAGAGCUCAAAUUUGAAAUCUGGCGUGCUCAGUGCGUCCGAGUUGUAAUCUAUAGAGGCGUUUUCCGCGCCGGUCCGCGUCCAAGUCCCUUGGAACAGGGUAUCAAAGAGGGUGACAAUCCCGUGCUUGACGCGACCGCCGGUGCUAUGUGAUACGUCUUCUAC
RNAcentral lists this ribosomal RNA (168 nucleotides) under Tremella sp. RNAcentral describes it as "partial large subunit ribosomal RNA". It matches the Rfam family "Eukaryotic large subunit ribosomal RNA", at positions 99 to 261 of the family's 3401-position model. The record is from RNAcentral. Lineage: Eukaryota; Fungi; Basidiomycota; Tremellomycetes; Tremellales; Tremellaceae.